AGUGAACGCUGGCGGUAGGCCUAACACAUGCAAGUCGAACGGCAGCACAGGAGAGCUUGCUCUCUGGGUGGCGAGUGGCGGACGGGUGAGGAAUACAUCGGAAUCUGCCCAGUCGUGGGGGAUAACGUAGGGAAACUUACGCUAAUACCGCAUACGACCUUCGGGUGAAAGAGGGGGAUCGCAAGACCUCUCGCGAUUGGAUGAGCCGAUGUCGGAUUAGCUAGUUGGCGGGGUAAUGGCCCACCAAGGCGACGAUCCGUAGCUGGUCUGAGAGGAUGAUCAGCCACACUGGAACUGAGACACGGUCCAGACUCCUACGGGAGGCAGCAGUGGGGAAUAUUGGACAAUGGGCGCAAGCCUGAUCCAGCCAUACCGCGUGGGUGAAGAAGGCCUUCUGGUUGUAAAGCCCUUUUGUUGGGAAAGAAAUCUUUCAGGCUAAUACCCUGGGAGGAUGACGGUACCCAAAGAAUAAGCACCGGCUAACUUCGUG
This 490-nucleotide ribosomal RNA is filed under the name uncultured bacterium. Its description in RNAcentral is "partial 16S ribosomal RNA". It matches the Rfam family "Bacterial small subunit ribosomal RNA", at positions 29 to 507 of the family's 1533-position model. The record is from RNAcentral.